UUCAAGCCUUGUAAGUCAUUUACGCACGCCCCUUUCGCCUCACCCAUUGUUUUCCACUUUCGGUUUCACUAGAUUUACCACUCCUAAAUAAUGCCACUAUUUUUCUGGACGUAGUCAAGCAUUAAAACAAGAACUCUACACACGAGAGAAGAGUUAACUGGGCUUCAACGAGAACGCUCCCGAGGGCCAGUCAUGGGAUUGUAUUCUACGAAACCAGAGUUUACAUCAACACUUGACAACCAGAGGGUGAGAAGAGGACAGAACGUUGAGCUCAAGGUCAAGGUCAACUUGGAGGGUGUGAAGGUCGACUGGACUAAAGAUGGUUCAACACUGUAUGACGGAGACAGGAUCCACUUCAGCCAGAAAGGAACGACUUUAACGCUGACCAUUG
Engraulis encrasicolus (European anchovy) is the source of this 391-nucleotide long non-coding RNA. RefSeq lists it as uncharacterized. The record is from RefSeq and is a predicted model, not a curated record. The transcript has 3 exons. NCBI's taxonomy places the organism in Eukaryota, Metazoa, Chordata, Actinopteri, Clupeiformes, Engraulidae.